UCAUGGCCAUCCCCUAGUAACAGACCAAGACCAUGGACAGUAGAAGAAGCAUGGUUGAUUCUCAAAAAGAGGAAGGCACCUUGCUGUUACACUGAAAAAAGGCUGCUCACAUCCUAAAAAGAAAACUGGCUGCUAUUUGCAUCUCACCCUGGUCUGUCCAAGCUCACACAAAAAACCUGGCCAUUGUCACUUCCCAAGGGGCUCACCACUUUUUGAAACUAAC
RNAcentral lists this long non-coding RNA (223 nucleotides) under Lathyrus oleraceus (garden pea). RNAcentral's name for it is "Pisum sativum (pea) long non-coding RNA (PSAT_LNC026474)". The record is from RNAcentral. Lineage: Eukaryota; Viridiplantae; Streptophyta; Magnoliopsida; Fabales; Fabaceae.